Molecule: ribosomal RNA, 478 nt
Filed under: Enterococcus hirae
Lineage: Bacteria; Bacillati; Bacillota; Bacilli; Lactobacillales; Enterococcaceae
Description: bacterial SSU rRNA
Rfam family: Bacterial small subunit ribosomal RNA
Source: RNAcentral
UGCAAGUCGAACGCUUCUUUUUCCACCGGAGCUUGCUCCACCGGAAAAAGAGGAGUGGCGAACGGGUGAGUAACACGUGGGUAACCUGCCCAUCAGAAGGGGAUAACACUUGGAAACAGGUGCUAAUACCGUAUAACAAUCGAAACCGCAUGGUUUNGAUUUGAAAGGCGCUUUCGGGUGUCGCUGAUGGAUGGACCCGCGGUGCAUUAGCUAGUUGGUGAGGUAACGGCUCACCAAGGCGACGAUGCAUAGCCGACCUGAGAGGGUGAUCGGCCACAUUGGGACUGAGACACGGCCCAAACUCCUACGGGAGGCAGCAGUAGGGAAUCUUCGGCAAUGGACGAAAGUCUGACCGAGCAACGCCGCGUGAGUGAAGAAGGUUUUCGGAUCGUAAAACUCUGUUGUUAGAGAAGAACAAGGAUGAGAGUAACUGUUCAUCCCUUGACGGUAUCUAACCAGAAAGCCACGGCUAACUACG